RNAcentral lists this ribosomal RNA (256 nucleotides) under uncultured bacterium. RNAcentral describes it as "partial 16S ribosomal RNA". It matches the Rfam family "Bacterial small subunit ribosomal RNA", at positions 524 to 776 of the family's 1533-position model. The record is from RNAcentral.
GACAGAGGGUGCAAACGUUGCUCGGAAUUACUGGGCGUAAAGGGCGUGUAGGCGGGAAGGCAAGUCGGGCGUGAAAUCCCCAGGCUCAACCUGGGAACUGCACUCGAAACUGCCUUUCCUGAGUGUCGGAGAGGAAAGCGGAAUUCCUGGUGUAGAGGUGAAAUUCGUAGAUAUCAGGAGGAACACCAGUGGCGAAGGCGGCUUCUGGACGAAGUAACUGACGCUGAGACGCGAAAAGCGUGGGGGAGCAAACAGG